This 543-nucleotide ribosomal RNA is filed under the name uncultured bacterium. Its description in RNAcentral is "partial 16S ribosomal RNA". It matches the Rfam family "Bacterial small subunit ribosomal RNA", at positions 355 to 907 of the family's 1533-position model. The record is from RNAcentral.
UGGGGAAUAUUGCACAAUGGGCGAAAGCCUGAUGCAGCAACGCCGCGUGAGGGACGACGGCCUUCGGGUUGUAAACCUCUUUUAGCAAGGAAGAAGCGAAAGUGACGGUACUUGCAGAAAAAGCGCCGGCUGACUACGUGCCAGCAGCCGCGGUAAUACGUAGGGCGCAAGCGUUAUCCGGAAUUAUUGGGCGUAAAGAGCUCGUAGGCGGUUUGUCGCGUCUGCUGUGAAAACCCGAGGCUCACUCGGCGNGCAGUGGGUACGGGCAGACUAGAGUGCGGUAGGGGAGAUUGGAACUCCUGGUGUAGCGUGGAAUGCGCAGAUAUCAGGAAGAACACCGAUGGCGAAGCAGAUCUCUGGGCCGUAACUGACGCUGAGGAGCGAAAGGGUGGGGGAGCAAACAGGCUUAGAUACCCUGGUAGUCCACCCCCGUAAACGUUGGGGAACUAGUUGUGGGGGUCCAUUCCACGGAUUCCCGUGACGCAGCUAAACGCAUUAAGUUCCCCGCCUGGGGAGUACGGCCGCAAGGCUAAAACUUAAAUG